GAUCAUGGCCAGGAUGAACGCUAGCGGCAGGCUUAACACAUGCAAGUCGAGGGGCAGCGGGGUGUAGCAAUACACUGCCGGCGACCGGCGCACGGGUGCGUAACGCGUAUGCAACCUACCCAUAACAGGGGCAUAACACUGAGAAAUUGGUACUAAUUCCCCAUAACAUUCGAAGAGGCAUCUCUUUGGGUUGAAAACUCCGGUGGUUAUGGAUGGGCAUGCGUUGUAUUAGCUAGUUGGUG
This 242-nucleotide ribosomal RNA is filed under the name uncultured bacterium. RNAcentral describes it as "partial 16S ribosomal RNA". It matches the Rfam family "Bacterial small subunit ribosomal RNA", at positions 15 to 254 of the family's 1533-position model. The record is from RNAcentral.